RNAcentral lists this ribosomal RNA (530 nucleotides) under Rhodnius pictipes. Its description in RNAcentral is "partial 16S ribosomal RNA". It matches the Rfam family "Bacterial large subunit ribosomal RNA", at positions 1809 to 2612 of the family's 2925-position model. Lineage: Eukaryota; Metazoa; Arthropoda; Insecta; Hemiptera; Reduviidae. The record is from RNAcentral.
AAAAACAUGUCUUUUUGAAUAUUAUAUAAGGUCUAACCUGCCCAAUGAGGAAUUGAAUGGCUGCGGUAUUCUAACCGUGCUAAGGUAGCAUAAUCAUUUGUCUUUUAAUUGAGGGCUUGUAUGAAAGGUUGGAUGAAGUAAUAACUUUCUUUAAUUUAACUUAUGAAUUAAAUUUUUUAGUCAAAAAGCUAAAAUAUUUUUAUUGGACGAGAAGACCCUAUAGAUCUUUACAGGUCAUUAAAUUUAAUAAUUUGGGGAAUUACUUAUUUUUAAUUAAUUUCUUGUUUGGUUGGGGUGAUUGUAGAAUUUUAUGAACUUCUAUUGUUUAGUUUUCAAUAAUUAUUGUUUUAUUGAUCCAUAUAUAAUGAUUAAAAGAUUAAGUUACCUUAGGGAUAACAGCGUAAUUCUUUCGGAGAGUUCAUAUUGAUGAAGGAGUUUGCGACCUCGAUGUUGGAUUAAAAUAAGUAUUAGGUGUAGCAGCUUAAUAACUAGGUCUGUUCGACCUUUGAAGUUUUACAUGAUCUGAGUUC